Molecule: ribosomal RNA, 503 nt
Filed under: uncultured bacterium
Lineage: Bacteria
Description: partial 16S ribosomal RNA
Rfam family: Bacterial small subunit ribosomal RNA
Source: RNAcentral
GACGAACGCCGGCGGCGUGCCUAAUACAUGCAAGUCGAACGAAGAUCUAGCUUGCUAGAUCUUAGUGGCGAACGGGUGAGUAAUACAUAAAUAAUCUGCCCAUAUGACUGGGAUAACUAUUGGAAACGAUAGCUAAUACCGGAUAGGUUGAUUGGAGGCAUCUCUGAUUAAUUAAAGUAGGAUUUCUACACAAAUGGAUGAGUUUAUGGCGCAUUAGUUAGUUGGUGGGGUAACGGCCUACCAAGACGAUGAUGAGUAGCCGACCUGAGAGGGUGACCGGCCACACUGGGACUGAGACACGGCCCAGACUCCUACGGGAGGCAGCAGUAGGGAAUUUUCGGCAAUGGGCGCAAGCCUGACCGAGCAACGCCGCGUGAGUGAUUAAGGCCCUUGGGUUGUAAAGCUCUUUCGUUUGGGAAGAAGGAAGUGUGGCUAAUAUCCACGCUGACAGACGGUACCAAAAUAAGAAGCACCGGCUAACUACGUGCCAGCCGCCGCCGUAA